This 492-nucleotide ribosomal RNA is filed under the name uncultured bacterium. Its description in RNAcentral is "partial 16S ribosomal RNA". It matches the Rfam family "Bacterial small subunit ribosomal RNA", at positions 28 to 507 of the family's 1533-position model. The record is from RNAcentral.
GAUGAACGCUAGCUACAGGCUUAACACAUGCAAGUCGAGGGGAAACGACAUCGAAAGCUUGCUUUUGAUGGGCGUCGACCGGCGCACGGGUGAGUAACGCGUAUCCAACCUGCCCAUCACUUGGGAAUAACCUUGCGAAAGUAAGACUAAUACCCAAUGACAUCCCACGAAGACAUCUGAAUGGGAUUAAAGAUUUAUCGGUGAUGGAUGGGGAUGCGUCUGAUUAGCUUGUUGGCGGGGUAACGGCCCACCAAGGCAACGAUCAGUAGGGGUUCUGAGAGGAAGGUCCCCCACAUUGGAACUGAGACACGGUCCAAACGCCUACGGGAGGCAGCAGUGAGGAAGAUUGGUCAAUGGGCGAGAGCCUGAACCAGCCAAGUAGCGUGCAGGAUGACGGCCCUAUGGGUUGUAAACUGCUUUUAUAAGGGAAUAAAGUGGGUCUCGUGAGACUUUUUGCAUGUACCUUAUGAAUAAGGACCGGCUAAUUCCGUG